RNAcentral lists this ribosomal RNA (468 nucleotides) under uncultured bacterium. RNAcentral's name for it is "partial 16S ribosomal RNA". It matches the Rfam family "Bacterial small subunit ribosomal RNA", at positions 28 to 507 of the family's 1533-position model. The record is from RNAcentral.
GACGAACGCUGGCGGCGUGCUUAACACAUGCAAGUCGAACGGAAAGGCCCUGCUUUUGUGGGGUGCUCGAGUGGCGAACGGGUGAGUAACACGUGAGUAACCUGCCCUUGACUUUGGGAUAACUUCAGGAAACUGGGGCUAAUACCGGAUAGGAGCUCCUGCUGCAUGGUGGGGGUUGGAAAGUUUCGGCGGUUGGGGAUGGACUCGCGGCUUAUCAGCUUGUUGGUGGGGUAGUGGCUUACCAAGGCUUUGACGGGUAGCCGGCCUGAGAGGGUGACCGGCCACAUGGGGACUGAGAUACGGCGCAGACUCCUACGGGAGGCAGCAGUGGGGAAUAUUGCACAAUGGGCGGAAGCCUGAUGCAGCAACGCCGCGUGCGGGAUGACGGCCUUCGGGUGGUAAACCGCUUUCGCCUGUGACGAAGCGUGAGUGACGGUAAUGGGUAAAGAAGCACCGGCUAACUACGUG